UACGUAGGAGGCAAGCGUUGUCCGGAGUUACUGGGCGUAAAGCGUACGCAGGCGGUCCAAUCAGUCUGUAGGGACAGGGCACAGCUUAACUGUGUCAGGCUUAUGGAAACUGUUGGACUUGAGGGCUUCAGAGGGAUGGGGAAUUCCGGGUGGAGUGGUGAAAUGCGUAGAGAUCCGGAAGAACACCAAAGGCGUAGGCACCAUCCUGGGGAGUCACUGACGCUCAUGUACGAAAGCUAGGGGAGCGAACGGG
RNAcentral lists this ribosomal RNA (253 nucleotides) under uncultured bacterium. RNAcentral describes it as "partial 16S ribosomal RNA". It matches the Rfam family "Bacterial small subunit ribosomal RNA", at positions 524 to 776 of the family's 1533-position model. The record is from RNAcentral.